CAGGAGUUAGUUUAUAAAAAUAUUGAUUUUGGGGAUCAUUGAUAGGAAUUUUCCUACUUCUGA
This 63-nucleotide transfer RNA is filed under the name Longzhouacris mirabilis. RNAcentral describes it as "tRNA-Pro". Lineage: Eukaryota; Metazoa; Arthropoda; Insecta; Orthoptera; Acrididae. The record is from RNAcentral.